Molecule: ribosomal RNA, 251 nt
Filed under: uncultured bacterium
Lineage: Bacteria
Description: partial 16S ribosomal RNA
Rfam family: Bacterial small subunit ribosomal RNA
Source: RNAcentral
UUCUAGCUUGCUAGAAAACGGACAGCGGCGAACGGGUGAGUAACACGUUGGUAUCUGCCCCCAAGUCAGGGAUAGCCAUUGGAAACGAUGAUUAAUACCGGAUAGUCUCUACGGAGUAAAAAUUUAUUGCUUGGGGAGGAGCCUGCGUUCUAUCAGCUAGUUGGUGAGGUAAAAGCUCACCAAGGCUAUGACGGAUAGUUGGUCUGAGAGGAUGACCAGCCACAAUGGAACUGAGACACGGUCCAUACUCC